This 73-nucleotide transfer RNA is filed under the name Camelus bactrianus (Bactrian camel). It matches the Rfam family "tRNA". Rfam says of the family: Transfer RNA (tRNA) molecules are approximately 80 nucleotides in length. Lineage: Eukaryota; Metazoa; Chordata; Mammalia; Artiodactyla; Camelidae. RNAcentral also lists the same sequence under 3 other names. The record is from Rfam by way of RNAcentral.
GAGGAUAUAGCUCAACUGGUAGAGUGUACACUUGGUAUGCAUGAGGUCCUGGGUUCAAUCCCCAGUACUUCCU